Non-coding RNA from Taeniopygia guttata (zebra finch), 2607 nucleotides. The record is from RefSeq and is a predicted model, not a curated record. Lineage: Eukaryota; Metazoa; Chordata; Aves; Passeriformes; Estrildidae.
CCUGUCUUUGCUAUCUGUCCCUGUGCCGGAGCUGCCGAUAACUGGGAAUUGCAGAGUUUGCAGGGUCGUGCCCCUGCCACAGCCGUCCCACACGCCACGCACUGCAACACCCACGGAAGGCGGCCCGCCAAGUUCAUGCUGAAGCACACCAAGAUCGUCCUCGUCACCGUCUGAUCCUGUUCAGGCUCAGCAACCAGCUGGUGGUGGCUUUCAAGGAGGACAACACAGUGGCCUUCAAGCACCUGUUCCCCAAGGGCUACAAAGAUGGCACCAAUGACACCCAGGCCAUCUACACCCGUGGGGACUUCCUGAAGCACCUGGCCUUUGUCCUCAGGAAGGUGGUAUGGGGACACUGGAGGGGCUGGGCACAUUGGGAGGGGUGGGGAACAUUGUGGGUCCUCCUGGAGCAUGUGCCCUAAGCCCUUGAGAAAGUGGCACAGGGACACUGGGGUGGCUGGGGACACCAGGAGGAACUGGGGACAUCGGGAUCUCCUGGAGCACCUAGUCUAUGCCCUCAAGAAGGUGGCACAGGGACACCGGAAGGGGUUGUGGACAUCAGGGGAGGGUUGAGAGACAUCAGGAAGGUUGCAGACACCAGGAAAAGUUUGGGAACAUGGGGGUUAUUUGGAGCCAUCAAGGUGCCACCCACAGUGCUCCUGUCCCUGUCCCCACAGUACCUGGCUGUCCUCCAUGAGACCUUUGGCCACCACACCUACACCUGGGGACAUGGAGAUGUUUCUGGAACACUGAGAUGUUUUGGGGUCAUGGCGAUGUUUUGGGGCCAUGGCGAUGUUUUGGGGCCAUGGGGUGGUUUGGGGCCACCAAGGUACCCCAGGGCCACCUCCAGCCUUGGUGUCCCUGUCCCUUGGUGUCUCUGUUCCUGUAGUACCCAAUGGGACCCUGGGCCACUAUGCCUAUGGUGGCACUGAGGGUGGCACCAGGCUCCGGCUGUGCCAGCGCUUCUUCCGCAGGGUGGACAUCAACCCCAGCAACAACACCUUUGACAUCAGCCCCAGCAUCAUCACUGGUGGGGACCCUUGGAGUUUGAGGUUUGGGAUUUGUGGUGUGGGGCACUGGGUUUGGGGUUUGGAGUUUAUGGUUUACAUUUCAAGUUUGGGAGUUGUGGCUUGCGGUUUGGGUUUGUGGUUUGGAUUUGGGUUGGUCGCAUGUCCUGGUUUAGGGCAAAUUUUGGGAGAAAACCUCCAGAAGGAGCCCCGAGAAAGCAAACCCCCUCAGCCUCUCCCCCCUCCUGGUUCGGGAAGAAUUUCCUCGGAGAGAAGUGGAAAGAAAACUGUUUAUUUAAAAGGCAAAGCACUCCCCAGCUAAAAAAAAUGAAUAACACUAGAUGACAAAACUCUUUCACCGCUCUGAAGAGAUGACAAAUCCAGACAGUCUCUCCUGGGAGUGGUCGCUCUGUUAUCAGUCCCUCCGGUGCUGAGAAUGGCUGCUGCAGGCCACAAAGUGCAAACUCUCAGUGUUUUCCAGGUCCCAGUCCAGAGCAGGUUUGAAUGGUUCCAAGAAAAGGGAAAGAAAAACAGUCCAGGGGAAAAUUCAGACUGCCCAGCUAAACUAACUAACAAGCCAAAAGCAAAAGCAAUCCAAGGAUUGCUCCCACACAAUAUGUGUCAGGUCAGAAAAUAGUUGCUGGAUUCUAUCUGCCCAGGGCAGCAUGUAAUCUGCACUUUGAACCCUAGGUCUAAGUAUUUUCCUUCCCCUGUAAAAGUGUUUCAAUCAUCUUUAAAGAGCUCGUCCACUGAAAUUUGGAUACCACCUUCAGUACUGAAAACAUCCAAGGAUUGCUCCCACACAAAAUGUGGACAGACAGAUCUUGCUGGUCUUUACCUCCAAUGGACAGAGUUUGUGAAAUAAAAUGAGAGUGCUUUACCAUGGGAAGGAAAGCAUGUAGGCCCAGUGGUUUAGGUGCAGAUUACAGGCUGCCCUAGGCGGGUAGAGAUCAGUGAAAGCUUUCUGAUCUGGCAGCUUUUGUAUGAGAGUUAUCUUUGGGCAUAUAUAAUAUUGGAGGUGGUAUCCACAGUUGAAUAAUGGGCUUCUGGAUGAGAAUGAGAGGUUUUUUCCAUAGGAAGGAAAGCGUGUAGCCCCAGUGUUUGUGGUGUUGAUGAGAGGCUGCACAGGGGAGCCAGGGAACGCCAGCCAAGACCUCUCUAUCGUGGCACCUUUUUGGUAGGAGCAGUCCUUGGACAUAAUACUGGUAGUGUUACCUGAUUUGGGUAAUGGGUAAAAUCCCUGGUUAUAUUCAAUUAAUUGCACUUAACAACUGAAAAGCAUGUGUGAUGUAGAAUGCAUGUACUAAGUUACCAUAGUUGUUAGCUUAAAUAAAAGAAGCAACUCUACCCUGUGGGUUGAACUUGUUAAUGUGUGAACCAAAUUUGCUUCCUGCUGGCAGUGAUUGCUCCUGCAAUAAGGAUAAACUGUCCUUCGAUGGUUAAGCUGAUCCUCAGUGAGGGUAUGCUGGAAUUGUUACUGAUACCAUUCCUGGAUAGAAAAAACAGUAUGAGUCUCAGCAGCGUUAGCCUGGACAGGUUACCCCUUAGUGGCUCAAGUUGUUUAAUCACUUAGAAUAAUGAAAAAAUUCCUUUUUCCCACUCA